CCCUACGGGGGGCAGCAGUGGGGGAUAUUGCACAAUGGGGGGAACCCUGAUGCAGCGACGCCGCGUGGGUGAAGGAGUGCUUCGGCAUGUAAAGCUCUAUCAGCAGGGAAGAAAAUGACGGUACCUGACUAAGAAGCCCCGGCUAACUACGUGCCAGCAGCCGCGGUAAUACGUAGGGGGCAAGCGUUAUCCGGAUUUACUGGGUGUAAAGGGAGCGUAGACGGCUGUGCAAGCCAGAUGUGAAAGCCCGGGGCUCAACCCCGGGACUGCAUUUGGAACUGCGGGGCUUGAGUGUCGGAGAGGCA
RNAcentral lists this ribosomal RNA (305 nucleotides) under uncultured bacterium. RNAcentral's name for it is "bacterial SSU rRNA". It matches the Rfam family "Bacterial small subunit ribosomal RNA", at positions 337 to 659 of the family's 1533-position model. The record is from RNAcentral.